CUCAGUUGCCAGCACAUAAUGGUGGGCGACUCUGUGGAGGACUGCCCGGGUUAACCGGGAGGAAGGUGGGGAUGACGUCAAGUCAUCAUGGCCCUUACGCCUAGGGCUACACACGUACUACAAUGGUGGGUACAAAGGGCAGCGAAACCGCGAGGUCGAGCGAAUCUCAAAAAACCCAUCAUAGUCCGGAUUGCAGUCUGCAACUCGACUGCAUGAAGUUGGAAUCGCUAGUAAUCCCGGAUCAGCAUGCCGGGGUGAAUACGUUCCCGGGCCUU
RNAcentral lists this ribosomal RNA (275 nucleotides) under uncultured Desulfomicrobium sp. Its description in RNAcentral is "partial 16S ribosomal RNA". It matches the Rfam family "Bacterial small subunit ribosomal RNA", at positions 1110 to 1382 of the family's 1533-position model. Lineage: Bacteria; Pseudomonadati; Thermodesulfobacteriota; Desulfovibrionia; Desulfovibrionales; Desulfomicrobiaceae. The record is from RNAcentral.